AGGCAGCAGUUAGGAAUCUUCCGCAAUGGACGAAAGCCUGACGGAGCAACGCCGCGUGAGCGAAGAAGGCCUUCGGGUCGUAAAGCUCUGUUGUUAGGGAAGAACAAGUGCGAGAGUAACUGCUCGCACCUUGACGGUACCUAACCAGAAAGCCACGGCUAACUACGUGCCAGCAGCCGCGGUAAUACGUAGGUGGCAAGCGUUAUCCGGAAUUAUUGGGCGUAAAGCGCGCGCAGGUGGUUUCUUAAGUCUGAUGUGAAAGCCCACGGCUCAACCGUGGAGGGUCAUUGGAAACUGGGGAACUUGAGUGCAGAAGAGGAAAGUGGAAUUCCAAGUGUAGCGGUGAAAUGCGUAGAGAUUUGGAGGAACACCAGUGGCGAAGGCGACUUUCUGGUCUGUAACUGACACUGAGGCGCGAAAGCGUGGGGAGCAAACAGGAUUAGAUACCCGAGUAGUCC
RNAcentral lists this ribosomal RNA (458 nucleotides) under uncultured bacterium. Its description in RNAcentral is "bacterial SSU rRNA". It matches the Rfam family "Bacterial small subunit ribosomal RNA", at positions 346 to 796 of the family's 1533-position model. The record is from RNAcentral.